UUCCCCUUCGGGGGACAAAGUGACAGGUGGUGCAUGGUUGUCGUCAGCUCGUGUCGUGAGAUGUUGGGUUAAGUCCCGCAACGAGCGCAACCCUUAAGCUUAGUUGCCAUCAUUAAGUUGGGCACUCUAAGUUGACUGCCGGUGACAAACCGGAGGAAGGUGGGGAUGACGUCAAAUCAUCAUGCCCCUUAUGAUUUGGGCUACACACGUGCUACAAUGGACAAUACAAAGGGCAGCGAAACCGUGAGGUCAAGCAAAUCCCAUAAAGUUGUUCUCAGUUCGGAUUGUAGUCUGCAACUCGACUACAUGAAGCUGGAAUCGCUAGUAAUCGUAGAUCAUCAUGCUACGGUGAAUACGUUCCCGGGUCUUGUACACACCGCCCGUCACACCACGAGAGUUUGUAACACCCGAAGCCGGUGGAGUAACCUUUUAGGAGCUAGCCGUCGAAGGUGGGACAAAUGAUUGGGGUGAAGUCGUAACAAGGUAGCCGUAUCGGAAGGUGCGGCUGGAUCACCUCCUUU
Molecule: ribosomal RNA, 521 nt
Filed under: Staphylococcus aureus
Lineage: Bacteria; Bacillati; Bacillota; Bacilli; Caryophanales; Staphylococcaceae
Description: bacterial SSU rRNA
Rfam family: Bacterial small subunit ribosomal RNA
Source: RNAcentral